This 253-nucleotide ribosomal RNA is filed under the name uncultured bacterium. Its description in RNAcentral is "partial 16S ribosomal RNA". It matches the Rfam family "Bacterial small subunit ribosomal RNA", at positions 524 to 776 of the family's 1533-position model. The record is from RNAcentral.
UACGAAGGGGGCUAGCGUUGCUCGGAUUGACUGGGCGUAAAGGGCGCGUAGGCGGAUAGUAAAGUCAGGCGUGAAAUUCCUGGGCUCAACCUGGGGGCUGCGUUUGAUACGUAUUGUCUGGAGUUCGGAAGAGGGUCGUGGAAUUCCCAGUGUAGAGGUGAAAUUCGUAGAUAUUGGGAAGAACACCGGUGGCGAAGGCGGCGACCUGGUCCGAUACUGACGCUGAGGCGCGAAAGCGUGGGGAGCAAACAGG